Molecule: long non-coding RNA, 3821 nt
Organism: Taeniopygia guttata (zebra finch)
Lineage: Eukaryota; Metazoa; Chordata; Aves; Passeriformes; Estrildidae
Source: RefSeq, a predicted model, not a curated record
UGUGUACUGUGGGCUGGAGGGAAAUGGGUAGCCUCUGGAGUGAUUCUGUGUUUCUGUUUAUGACAUUUUCCUGCAGAAUUCUUAUUAAAAACAAGAGUUGCAAGUGGAGCACUUGUGAUUCCUGCUGUCUGCACACUAAGUAUUUUUACAGCCGUGUAUCUGCAGUACUCAAGGAAUCUCCUUGAGUAGAAACACAGUGGCAAUUCACUUUAUUUAGCAGGAGAAGUAUUGAAACCUCAUUCACGUUUUAGGAUGAGUAAGGAUGUGGUGUCACUCACAGUGGAGCCUCAUUUAGAGCCCAUUGAUGUCAAUGGAAACACUUCCCUUUGCCUCAGUGGGCCAUGGACCAGGAAUAUGCAAGAUAUUUCUCCAUGAUGUGCUUGCUAAAAGAAGUGAGAUAUAUGGAAAAAAAUUGGACAUUUUUGUGAAGAAAAAAAAAAAAAGCAACUGGCCAAUAGCAACCUAGAAAGCAUCCAGCCUGGAUCUCAGCUGCAAAGGAGAAAAGUUCUUGUGUUGGUCUUGCCUGGAGUGCUGGCCUUGCUGGCCUCAAGCCCCUUGCCAUCCAGUGGAUUAAAGUUGAGACCCAAGACACCAGCCAGGUGAGGAGGCUGGAGAGAAGACGAGGUAAUAAGACCAUGCAAACCAUUCUGUAGCACAGAGCAAAGAGUGAUUUUCUUUUUCUCUGACUCUAUCACAAACAGUGCACAAGAGAACAAGCGAAAAAACCUGAAAUUUGUCAAGAAGUGUGCUUGCUGUUCACACUGAUCAUAAUGUUUACUCUGGUAAUCUUGCAAGUUUUGCUGAUUUUGCUCUUAGAAGUACAAGCUCUGAGAGAUAUCACCUUUAAGUUAUUUUCAUCCCACUUAGCUAGGAUAUGUAUCUUAACUCAUUUUAAUGUAUGUAUUGUUUGUUGACUGUAUGAAAUGAAUACCUGACAUUUAUCCUAGAAAGUUGUUAGAUGAUUAUAGAUAAAGCAAAAUUUUCAGCGUAAUUAUUAAAUAAAGUAUCUGUGGGAUUUUUUAAAAUUGUGCAUUCUUUAAUUUACUGCAAUUCAAUGUUUUAAAUUCAAAUAUUAUGGGCUAUGGUGUCAGUCUUUCCCUGGCUUAUGUUUUCAAGUACCAAGAACAUUACAAUCCAGAGCUUUCGUAUCUGAUCCUGUUUAUGUCACUAGCAAAAGCUCCUUGCUGUGUUUACUUCAUCACAGAUGUGCGUUAUAGGAUUUUGAAGAGAUCUUCAAUAUCUCUUGGUCUAUUUCUCCUUCCAAACAGACAAUCCCUGCAAGUGUUCUGAUUUUAAUUUAAAUUAUAUGCAUCAGUUGCUGCCAUAAAACAAGUUAGUCUUGGCCCUGAUGUUAUAGGUUGUCAGGAAAUAUUUUAUAUGGAGAAACAAUGAACAAUGAAUAUAUGAUAUAACUUGUGGAAAAGUUGUGCUCCUGCAGUUCUGACUCAGACAUUAUUUCCACUUAUUAUGGUCUUUGCUGCCAGUGUUUUCCAAAAUGGCAAAAUCAGAACUCAAGAAGAAAAUAUGAGUGAGGGACAGCAUGUACUCAGAGCAGCCUGAGGGUUUAUUUUGGGCUGUAAAACAGGGACACUUCAGCAAAAUUUAAGUACAUAAUAUUAUGUGACAAAUCUCAGACCAGGACAGGGAGUGUGCCACAUAAUUUUACUUUAAUACUUUAGUACAUAAUUUUACUUUAGUACAAAGAAGUGUAAUUUAAAGGUAAUAGUGGAAGACUAAGAGAUUCAGAAAAUAUAGAAAAAUUGCAGGGGUGUGAGAUAGCUAGUUUUUUCCCCUUUACAGCAAUCACAUAGUAAAAAAAUUGGGAUUUUUUUUUCUUUUUCUGUAAACAUAGCUAACUCCUUUAUUCCAAUUCAAAAGUGUUACAUUUGACUAAGAUAACUUACAUUGGUCAUUUCACUUGGGUUCCUGACUAACAGUCAGAGCCACUGGUGUAUCAUGCCUUUUCCUGCUCACUGGCUACUGCCUAGGGGCAGCAGUGGUUCUCUGCAGUCACCAUCUGCCUUUCAACCUUUUAUACAUCUUUAUACUUUUUUAAAGCAGCUGGAGACCUUCUUAUUCUUUAAGGUUAACUCAAUGUAAACAAUGAGAGCACAGAGGAGUAACUGCAUCUUUACCAUGAAGAAAAAUCUACAUCUUCUCUAUAAAAAUUCAGGCUUUAUCUUUAUGCCAAAAGGAUCUUGCUUCUGAAAAGGUCUUGAAAAUCUUUUUUUUAGCUAACUGGUUUUUAUCUACAUUUAAAAAUACCCAACCCAAACCUUACAAAAACCACAAACAAACAAACAAACAUAAUCCUUCACCAAACACAUUUUAUGUAAGAAACACUGUAAUUUGACUGUGAUAGAGUUUCAUAUAAGUAUGUUGAACUGAAUUGAUGGAAAGGGAAAUGAAAUACAAUAGCAUUUCUUUCUUAAAUAGAGCUACAUAUUACUAUGAGAAAACUAGUUAACAGCAAGUUAAAAAGGAGAAGCUAGAAGACAAAUUUUUUAUAGCUCACAUGGAGAAAGUUUAAAACCACCACAUCUGAGGAUUGCAGCUAAUGAACAGUGCUAAUUAAACAGAACCAUUCAAUGAAAACAGAACCAUUCAAUGAAAAUCCAACCACAAAAUAAAAAGGAUUCAGCUUCAUGAAACAGCCAAAUUAAAGACGAAAGUAGCUCUUAAAAAUACAUCUUCCCAAAUAGGUGGAAGUCAUAUAUAGUUAGGGAAAACAGAAAAGGGCAUAACAGCUACCAAAGGAAGAGCAAAAAAUACUAAAGAUGGAAAAAAAUGGUGGAAUUUUGGGAAGCUGUGAAGAGGCAACUGCCAGAGAAUUUUCAUUUUGUUCACAAAUGAUCAAGAUGCAACAGGAAUUCUUAAGCAGCUUGGAGGAAAGUAAUCUGAAAUCUUGGCAUUAUCUUCCAUGACAGAGGAACUGUUUUGGAUAAUUGAUGAGAGCAGACAAGACAUCAACAUGCUGCUUUGAAUGAUACAUAUUUUGAACAGUGUGUAGAUCUGGUCCUUCCAUACAGUAGAACUGGAACUAAAGUAGGUAAAGUAGAUCUAGGAAAGGUAUAGAGAAGAACAAGGAUAACCAGAAAUUUGAAACAGUUGUUCCACAUAAAGCAACAACAAAUAAAGGACUUUUCAACUUGGAAAGAUCUAUAAGGAUAUGAAUUGUGAAAUAAUAAAAAGGAAAACUGUUGAGCUUUUCUCUCUAUAGACAAGUGUGGAGAUGUGGAAGUUUCAAAGCAAUAAAAAUAAAUAAUUUUUAGAAGUACCUUUCCCAAACUUAAAUAAAAAUACAUGACUCAACUCAUUGGUAGAUUAUACUGAGGUGACAGAGGUGACAACAAUUCCGUGUAAACAAGCAAGCAAAUUUAGUUAAGAAAUAAACAGAUUCACAGGGUAGAAUCUCCACAUGCCAGUCUGGAUCAAAACAUCAGUACAGGAAGUCUAUGAACAUAAAGAAGUAGGGAAAGUAUAGCAGGGGAAACACAAAAAACAGAGUAUGUUAAUAUCUGAAACAGUCUGUAAUACCACAUUUUAUGUUCCUUAUCAAAUUGUCCAUUUUUUUAUCCUUAGCAUAAUUUAGGAUCAAUGCUUAUGUUCUCCUAUAUAUUUGUUGUUCAAUACACACACCAGUAAAAAUUUUGUUGGCUAUGCAGAAUUUUUGUGGAUGUUGCCAAGAUUGGAAUGUUUGAUGGUGAAUUAGACACUGAUGGCUUUCCUGUCUUUCACUCCUUCCUUUCUAUUUGUCUUGAACCAUGUUUUGCCAAAAAGAGCAAUUUCAUUUCUUGAAUAAAAAUGUUUCAUUUAACCUC